AGAGUUUGAUCAUGGCUCAGGACGAACGCUGGCGGCGUGCCUAACACAUGCAAGUCGAACGAAGUAUAUUUUCGGAUAUGCUUAGUGGCGGACGGGUGAGUAACGCGUGAACAAUCUGCCCUGUACACAGGAAUAGCCUCGGGAAACUGGGAUUAAAACCGGAUAACACUUUUUGGCCGCAUGGCCGGGAAGUCAAAUUGAUUUAGAGGUACAGGAUGAGUUCGCGUCUGAUUAGCUAGUUGGUGAGGUAACGGCUCACCAAGGCGACGAUCAGUAGCCGGCCUGAGAGGGUGAACGGCCACACUGGAACUGAGACACGGUCCAGACUCCUACGGGAGGCAGCAGUGGGGAAUAUUGCACAAUGGAGGAAACUCUGAUGCAGCGACGCCGCGUGAGUGAAGAAGGUCUUCGGAUCGUAAAACUCUGUCCUUGGUGACGAAAAAAAUGACGGUAGCCAAGGAGGAAGCCCCGGCUAACUACGUGCCAGCAGCCGCGGUAAUACGUAGGGGGCGAGCGUUGUCCGGAUUUACUGGGCGUAAAGGGUGAGUAGGCGGUAAUAUGUGUCAGAUGUAAAAGGCUAUGGCUUAACCAUAGUUGGCAUUUGAAACUGUAUUACUUGAGUGCAGGAGAGGUAAGUGGAAUUCCUAGUGUAGCGGUGAAAUGCGUAGAUAUUAGGAGGAACACCAGUGGCGAAGGCGACUUACUGGACUGUAACUGACGCUGAGUCACGAAAGCGUGGGUAGCAAACAGGAUUAGAUACCCUGGUAGUCCACGCUGUAAACGAUGAGUGCUAGGUGUUGGGUAGCGAUAUUCAGUGCCGAAGUAAACACAAUAAGCACUCCGCCUGGGGAGUACGGUCGCAAGACUGAAACUCAAAUGAAUUGACGG
Molecule: ribosomal RNA, 888 nt
Filed under: Sedimentibacter sp. enrichment culture clone B4123
Lineage: Bacteria; Bacillati; Bacillota; Tissierellia
Also listed under: 1 other name
Description: bacterial SSU rRNA
Rfam family: Bacterial small subunit ribosomal RNA
Source: RNAcentral